This 460-nucleotide ribosomal RNA is filed under the name uncultured bacterium. Its description in RNAcentral is "partial 16S ribosomal RNA". It matches the Rfam family "Bacterial small subunit ribosomal RNA", at positions 338 to 795 of the family's 1533-position model. The record is from RNAcentral.
CCUACGGGUGGCAGCAGUGAGGAAUAUUGGACACUGGGCGCGAGCCUGAACCAGCCAAGUCGCGUGAAGGAUGACUGCCCUCCGGGUUGUAAACUUCUUUUAUAGAGGAAUAAAGUGAGUCACGUGUGCCUUUUUGUCUGUACUUUAUGAAUAAGGAUCGGCUAAUUCGGUGCAAGCAGCCGCGUUAAUACGGAGGAUCCGGGCGUUAUCCGGAUUUAUUGGGUUUAAAGGGAGCGUAGAUGGGUGGUUAAGUCAGUUGGGAAAGUUUGCGGCUCAACCGUAAAAUUGCAAUUGAUACUGGCAGCCUUGAGUACAGGUGAGGUAGGCGGAAUUCGUGGUGUAGCGGUGAAAUGCUUAGAUAUCACGAAGAACUCCGAUUGCGAAGGCAGCUUACUAAACUGCCACUGACAUUGAUGCUCGAAAGUGUGGGUAUCAAACAGGAUUAGAUACCCUGGUAGUC